Molecule: long non-coding RNA, 357 nt
Organism: Hyla sarda
Lineage: Eukaryota; Metazoa; Chordata; Amphibia; Anura; Hylidae
Exons: 2
Source: RefSeq, a predicted model, not a curated record
CACGCUGCCUCCUCAGGAAGUCUUUUCCUCAGCUAUUCUCAAAAGGGAGCAGACCGAUGGAAGACACAGGCGCCAUUUUGGACAGAACCAGAAGUGACGCGACCGGCGGGUGGUUAGCGUAAGAGAUCCUUGCUGAACUAAACUGCUCUUCCCCCUCCCAUCGAGCAUCGAAGAUGGCGCUGGAAUGUAGCAGAGAUAAGAAAUGCUACUAUCUAGAAAAGUACGCAGAAGGAGAUUUAACCAAUUAAGUGUUUUUAAUACCUAAUUUACACAACCCCUUUUGCAGAUGUCACUAUCAUCUAUAUAAACCUUGUGCAUCUUUUUUUCUGGUUAAUAAAGAAAGUAUCAUACAACUGA